UACAGAGGUCUCGAGCGUUGUUCGGAUUCAUUGGGCGUAAAGGGUGCGUAGGUGGCGCUGUAAGUCGGGUGUGAAAUUUCGGAGCUUAACUCCGAAACUGCAUUCGAUACUGGCGUGCUUGAGGACUGGAGAGGAGACUGGAAUUCAUGGUGUAGCAGUGAAAUGCGUAGAGAUCAUGAGGAAGACCAGUGGCGAAGGCGGGUCUCUGGACAGUUCCUGACACUGAGACACGAAGGCCAGGGGAGCAAACGGG
This 253-nucleotide ribosomal RNA is filed under the name uncultured bacterium. RNAcentral describes it as "partial 16S ribosomal RNA". It matches the Rfam family "Bacterial small subunit ribosomal RNA", at positions 524 to 776 of the family's 1533-position model. The record is from RNAcentral.